GCCGCCCAACAGCAUGAGCAGGAUGGAUGGAGCUGGAGGCUGCCCUCCCUGCCCUGCCCUGCCCUGCCCAGCUGAUUAUCACAUUGUUUCAGAGGUAACUUGGUGGCUUUGGGCACAGGGCAACGCAUCCUAGAAUCCCCUCCCGCUGCCCGUUUGAAGCUCAGGAGAGCGGGGAGGUUCAGGGGAGAAGAAAGAUAUCAGAUCUUGGCCGUCCAAAGACCCUGGAAUCCGUUCCUCCUGCCCUCUGUAUUGAUCCCCGGGCUCGCCUUCCAUCAGCGGAUCAAUGCCUCUGCCCGAAAGAGGAGCUGCCCUUUAGAACGGCUGGGAAAGCGGCUCAGGCGGAACAUUCUUAUUAAUCAAAACAGGCCUCUCUCGGAAGGACGGCGGCGGCAAGUGGAAACAAAAGAAGGAGGUUUGCCGAACAGCCUAGAAUAUUAGGGUGGGAGAAGCCAUCAGUUAAUGGGACUGGAUGCCAAUGAGGGCUUGCAGGGACACUUCCAGGUGACCGUCCACGUGUCCCUGAAGGUCGAGGAGGAGGCAGAUCUGCCUGUGACCGUGUCAAUCAUAGCUCCAUGUGCCCCCUGCACGUGCCUCACUUAAAGACCAUAUGGACCCUCUCGUCAGGCAGGGACAGACUUAAAUUAUGACAUUUUUCAUCUUGAUUGACAAUUCCCUUCCCCUGGAAGUUGGGGAACGGCCCGGCUAUAUUACAUCUUGCACAAUAAAAUGAAGGAGAUAAAAAGGGGAGUCAUUAUUUUAGGAAUGUGGUCUCUGGGAGAUGGCUAAGGACGUCAUUUUUAUUCCCACUGCUCCUGCGUUUUAUUAUUUUAUUAAGAGUUAACUCUCAAUUAUCCACAUAUUUCCCGUCUGCACCUGUCAUGCA
Molecule: long non-coding RNA, 883 nt
Organism: Lontra canadensis (Northern American river otter)
Lineage: Eukaryota; Metazoa; Chordata; Mammalia; Carnivora; Mustelidae
Exons: 3
Source: RefSeq, a predicted model, not a curated record